GACGUAGGGCGCGAGCGUUGUCCGGAUUUACUGGGCGUAAAGAGCGCGCAGGCGGUCGUUCAAGUCGCGUGUGAAAGCCCCCGGCUCAACUGGGGAGGGUCACGCGAUACUGAUCGACUCGAAGGCAGGAGAGGGAAGUGGAAUUCCCGGUGUAGUGGUGAAAUGCGUAGAUAUCUGGAGGAACACCGGUGGCGAAGGCGGCAUCCUGGACCGACACUGACACUGAGGAGCGAAAGCCAGGGGAGCAAACGGG
This 253-nucleotide ribosomal RNA is filed under the name uncultured bacterium. RNAcentral describes it as "partial 16S ribosomal RNA". It matches the Rfam family "Bacterial small subunit ribosomal RNA", at positions 524 to 776 of the family's 1533-position model. The record is from RNAcentral.